UCCGUAGGCGGGCAAUUAAGUCAGAGGGGAAAUCCCACAGCUCAACUGUGGAACUGCCUUUGAUACUGGUUGUCUUGAGUUACAGUGAAGUAGAUAGAAUAUGUAGUGUAGCGGUGAAAUGCAUAGAUAUUACAUAGAAUACCGAUUGCGAAGGCAGUCUACUAACUGUAUACUGACGCUAAUGGACGAAAGCGUGGGGAGCGAACAGGAUUAGAUACCCUGGUAGUCC
This 229-nucleotide ribosomal RNA is filed under the name uncultured bacterium. RNAcentral's name for it is "partial 16S ribosomal RNA". It matches the Rfam family "Bacterial small subunit ribosomal RNA", at positions 568 to 796 of the family's 1533-position model. The record is from RNAcentral.